UGUGGAGCUGUGGACGUGUGGUUGAUCAUUCGAUACGUAUUUCCUUUCCUUUGUGGAUAUCUUCAUAAUUUCAAGCAUCAUUUUUGUUUGCUACAUUCAGUUUCAACAUUUUGAUGCUAUGCAUAUGGAUUUCCCAUCUGUAGCACUGUAUAGGACUAGAGUAGAUUUUUUCAUUAUUGUUGGGCACGCGCCAAGCGAGCAUGACAUUUAUUGUCGUGUGAGACUGUGAGUGUGACUGAUCGUUUAGUUUGCAUUGUGCGUUUUGUGCCAUCAUUCAAUUCAAUUAGUGCAUCAGUUUAAUUGAUCGAAAGAAAAGGUCCACAAAAAGCGUGAAUCUUUAAGAUGCAUACUGUCAGUCAUUCCAACAAGUCAACAAGUCCGCUCAGUCAAUUUCCAUCCAUCAGCCUCAUCAUGUUGUCAAAAGCCAAAAACUCAUGGUUGAAGACACAUGCAGUGGAAUACAAAUGUGCCGAGAUAAGGAUCUUUUCUUUACCUCACAAUUUUGGUCAUGUACCCUGCAACAGCAUGUUUGUUUUUAUGGAGCUCUUUUACUUCUGUAGAAGGCACCCCAACUAAGAGAUAGAGUUUCAGUGAAAUGAAGAGUGUGAAGUGAAUAACCUGCCAUGUGUAUGCACAUGUACUAGAUCUGCUUGAUGAAAGUCAAAUCCCUUACUUAAUUGAUCACCCAUAUGAUAAAGCAACAGGAAAUCAAUCUCAACAUGUGAAGUACAAGUACAAGUAAUGCUGUUGGUUCCUGUGAAUUCCAUGUUUACGGUUUUUCAUCAUGAACAUUUUAGUGUGCUUCAUAGAAAACAGCACGCAAGAUCACCACGGACAUCCUUGAGCUAAUGCUAGAUUUCGUCCGUGACAGAAGAGGGACUUGCAUCAUGCUCCAUCCUUAUCUUCCCGACGUACGCUCAUCCAGCUUCACUGCUUCAGUGCUUCUUAUGCUGCAAAACAACUUUUCUUGCUUCACUGGCGAGUUGGAUCAUCACUU
Long non-coding RNA from Daphnia pulicaria, 997 nucleotides. RefSeq lists it as uncharacterized. The transcript has 6 exons. The record is from RefSeq and is a predicted model, not a curated record. Lineage: Eukaryota; Metazoa; Arthropoda; Branchiopoda; Diplostraca; Daphniidae.